GACGGAGGGGGCAAGCGUUGUCCGGAUUUAUUGGGCGUAAAGAGCUCGUAGGCGGCUUGUCGCGUCGUCCGUGAAAACCCACAGCUCAACUGUGGGCUUGCGGUCGAUACGGGCAGGCUAGAGUUCGGUAGGGGAGACUGGAAUUCCUGGUGUAGCGGUGAAAUGCGCAGAUAUCAGGAGGAACACCGGUGGCGAAGGCGGGUCUCUGGGCCGAUACUGACGCUGAGGAGCGAAAGCGUGGGGAGCGAACAGG
Molecule: ribosomal RNA, 253 nt
Filed under: uncultured bacterium
Lineage: Bacteria
Description: partial 16S ribosomal RNA
Rfam family: Bacterial small subunit ribosomal RNA
Source: RNAcentral